RNAcentral lists this ribosomal RNA (277 nucleotides) under uncultured Bacteroidales bacterium. Its description in RNAcentral is "partial 16S ribosomal RNA". It matches the Rfam family "Bacterial small subunit ribosomal RNA", at positions 505 to 781 of the family's 1533-position model. The record is from RNAcentral. Lineage: Bacteria; Pseudomonadati; Bacteroidota; Bacteroidia; Bacteroidales.
GUGCCAGCAGCCGCGGUAAUACGGAGGAUACGAGCGUUAUCCGGAUUUAUUGGGUUUAAAGGGAGCGUAGACGGGAUGUUAAGUCAGUUGUGAAAGGCUGCGGCUCAACCGCAGCACUGCAGUUGAUACUGGCGUCCUUGAGUGCGGUUGAGGUAUGUGGAAUUCGUGGUGUAGCGGUGAAAUGCUUAGAUAUCACGAAGAACUCCGAUUGCGAAGGCAGCAUACUAAGCCGCUACUGACGUUGAGGCUCGAAAGUGUGGGUAUCAAACAGGAUUAG